GGAUAGGUCUGGGUAGUUGGAUAGGUCUGGAUAGUUGGAUAGGUCUGGGUAGUUGGAUAGGUCUGGGUAGUUGGAUAGGUCUGGGUAGUUGGAUAGGUCUGGAUAGUUGGAUAGGUCUGGAUAGUUGCAUAGGGCUGGAUAGUUGGAUAGGUCUGGAUAGUUGGGUAGGGCUGGAUAGUUGGGUAGGUCUGGAUAGUUGGAUAGGUCUGGAUAGUUGGAUAGGGCUGGAUAGUUGGAUAGGUCUGGAUAGUUGGAUAGGUCUGGAAAGGUCUGGAUAGUUGGAUAGGUCUGGAUAGUUGGAUAGGUCUGAAUAGUUGGAUAGGUCUGGAUAGUUGGAUAGGUCUCGAUAGUUGGAUAGGUCUGGAUAGUUGGAUAGGUCUGGAUAGAUAGGUCUGGAUAUGUCUGGAUAGUUGGAUAGGUCUGGAUAGUUGGAUAGGUCUGGAUAGUUGGAUAGGGCUGGAUAGUUGGAUAGGGCUGGAUAGUUGGAUAGGUCUGGAUAGUUGGAUAGGUCUGGAUAGGUCUGGAUAGUUGGAUAGGUCUGGAUAGUUGGAUAGGUCUGGAUAGGUCUGGAUAGUUGGUUAGGUCUGAAUAGUUCUGAAUCGUUGGAUAGGUCUGGAUAGGUCUGAAUAGUUGGUUAGGUCUGAAUAGUUCUGAAUCGUUGGAUACGUCUGGAUAGUGG
Molecule: long non-coding RNA, 679 nt
Organism: Oncorhynchus tshawytscha (Chinook salmon)
Lineage: Eukaryota; Metazoa; Chordata; Actinopteri; Salmoniformes; Salmonidae
Source: Ensembl